GAAAUGCGAUAAGUAAUGUGAAUUGCAGAAUUCAGUGAAUCAUCGAAUCUUUGAACGCACCUUGCGCUCCUUGGUAUUCCUUGGAGCAUGCCUGUUUGAGUAUCAUGAAAUCUUCAAAGUAAAUCUUUUGUUAACUCAAUUGGUUUCUACUUUGGUAUUGGAGGUCUUUGCAGCUUCACACCUGCUCCUCUUUGUUCAUUAGCUGGAUCUCAGUGUUAUGCUUGGUUCCACUCGGCGUGAUAAGUUAUCUAUCGCUUAGGACACAGUAAAAGGUGGCCAAGGUAAAUGCAGAUGAACCGCUUCUAAUAGUCCAUUGACUUGGACAAUACUUUUAUGAUCUGAUCUCAAAUCAGGUAGGACUACCCGCUGAACUUAAGC
RNAcentral lists this unclassified non-coding RNA (378 nucleotides) under plant metagenome. RNAcentral describes it as "partial contains 5.8S ribosomal RNA, internal transcribed spacer 2, and large subunit ribosomal RNA". The stretch from base 1 to 105 matches the Rfam family "5.8S ribosomal RNA", at positions 50 to 154 of the family's 154-position model. The record is from RNAcentral.